GCGCGAAAACUUUACAAUGCUGGCAACAGCGAUAAGGGGACCUCGAGUGCCAGGAUACAAUCUUGGCUGUCGUAAUGCCUAAAAAGCAUUGCAUAGCAAGGGCCGGGCAAGACCGGUGCCAGCCGCCGCGGUAACACCGGCGGCUCGAGUGGUAACCGCUAUUAUUGGGUCUAAAGGGUCUGUAGCCGGCCGGAUAAGUCUUUUGGGAAAUCCAGCUGCUCAACAGUUGGGCUUUCAGAAGAUACUGUUCGGCUCGAGACCGGGAGAGGUGAGAGGUACUUCAGGGGUAGGG
RNAcentral lists this ribosomal RNA (292 nucleotides) under uncultured archaeon. Its description in RNAcentral is "partial 16S ribosomal RNA". It matches the Rfam family "Archaeal small subunit ribosomal RNA", at positions 339 to 631 of the family's 1478-position model. The record is from RNAcentral.